Numida meleagris (helmeted guineafowl) is the source of this 5917-nucleotide long non-coding RNA. RefSeq lists it as uncharacterized. The record is from RefSeq and is a predicted model, not a curated record. Lineage: Eukaryota; Metazoa; Chordata; Aves; Galliformes; Numididae. The transcript is spliced from 3 exons.
UGUCCUUAAAUCCAGGCACCCUGUGUCCAGGAUACACCCAGGGCGUUAGACCUCCCUCACUGAAGGGCACCGCAGGAUCUCAAAAGCAGUUGUUUUGACUUGUAUGCAUUAACUCUGUCACUGAAAGACACAGGCUGUGUCAGCUCUUUACCAUUGUCUUCCAUCAAUUUGUUUAGAGGUUAAUCUUUCCUCUUGACAUAGGUAAUUUUUAAACUUCAGAGCCAAGCAGUCCCCCAGCACUGUGAUGUGCUGCAGAGGACACGGGCUGGCAUGGAGAAGAUGUGGCUCCGAAGAGAGGUGCCCAUGGGCCAGGAGAGGAGGGUGGCAUUGCCCAGGGACAGCAGAGCUGCCCGCAUGCCCCUGGGCAAGGCUGGUAGUCCUCGGUGGAGGGGUAAAAAUGCCCAGGUUCUGCUUGGAGCUGCAUUUUCACCACAGUAUUGUGCAGGGUAACAACAGAGAAGUGAUGGACCCAUUUCCCUCAGGAAUCUGCUUAAUUGGUUUUGUUAGAAAAAAAAAAGAGAACAGAGUGAUGACAGAGUAUUGUUUGCCAGUGUAGACAAGACUGAAAUAUGUUUCAAAUCAACUAACAGAGCAGCAUAGAUGCUUGUGUGGCCAGGGAAGGAGGGAAAGAAAAACAGCAGAGUCACAAUUACUGAUAGAUUUUAAUCCUUCCUGGACUCGCUAUCAGCGAGGCUCCUGCUUCUGUUUACCCAGCUGAGGAGGGUGUUUCCAUUUGCACAGAUCUCUUCCCAUUGUCAGUGAAGCAAUGACUAGACAAUGAGGCUGUUACAGAAGAAAGAUGAGCUGGCUGCAACCAACAAAUCUUGCACUCUCCAUUUACAGGGCUAUAAUUAUCAAAGUUUUAAAACACAAUGGUAUCUGCUGAAAGGGACCAUCUGGGUGAAGAGCAAGACAUCCCAAUUAAAUGAUUGAUAAGCAGCUCAUGCACUGGAGGAGCACAAUACAAGUAAUUCUAAAAAUGCCACUUGCAUUAACAAAAGUGUUUAAGGAGUUUGUACGUAAGGUGUGGGAGGGGAGAUCAAGUGCAUUUUUGUGAUUCAGAAUAACAAAGCAGAAAUAAGACCAGCCUCGAGAGCAAGGGGGAAAGCACUGGGGUGCAGUGGAGGAGCAGUACCUGUUUGUGCUUUGCAAUCUCUUGUGUGAGGCCAGUGCUGCUGACCUGAGGGUUUACAAGGAACUGUUAAUGUCAGGGAGAGGAGGAAUGAUAAACCUCUCUCCGCAUGAGGCCUUGCUAGGCAGGAAAGCAAGCUGUCUUAUCAGCCUGCAGCAGCAGACCAGCACAAGCAUGACAUUGGCACGGGUGCUGUGGUGAUGAAGAAAUCUGCACUGGAUACCUGCAUCUGCUGCAUGCUUUGUCUUUGGCCUUACCCAGAGGUUGUGUUACGAUGGGAAGUCCAACUGUCCUCUUGUUUCUGACCCUCUUGUUUAACUCACCGCUCAUCUAAUCUCUUACAGACCUCAUAGAUGAUGCCUGAUACAUUAGGACCAUCAUCUCAUUUGGUACUUCUUCAUACCACAGUAAUAGAGAAAGUGGUUUUGUCCUGUAACACCUUCUAAGAAUGCAUCGAUGCUUGUUUGCAUCUCUUCAAAGCAGUAACUUGAGCCCUAGGUUCAGGUAUGGAUAUGGGUAUGGUCAGAAGUCUGACUUAGCUGCCUACAAUAAUAGUGCAACCAGGCACAGCUGAUUUGCUUUACAACAGUUUGUCAGUGCUAGUUCAUUCUAGGCCAUCCCUGGAUUAUAAAGCUAGAUGUAGGUUUUGUGUGGUAAUCUAACCACAGUUAAGACUUAUUUUGAAUUGUUUCUUAAAUUUGCAAACUAGUCUGCUUUGUCUUUAAAAUAUUUUUUAGAAAUUAAAGGUUAUAAAAUGUUGCCUUUUAAGUUUGGGUCUCGGUUUUAGUGCUACUGUCUACCCACACCUAUUAGAUUUUAAUCCUGUCUGUGGCAUCUCUUAACAACUUUCUGUUUGGCUAUGGACUGUUCUCAUCCCCUCCACGUAUUUUAAGCUAAAUAGAUUGAACCCUAUGUAUCUUUAACAAGACUUUUUUUUUUUUUUUGAUACUGUGUUUAUUUUCUUGGUUUCUCUUUGAACCCAUCUCAAUUUAUCAGUAUAGUUACCCAUAUAUGAGCAUUCACAUGGGACUUGUCCUUCAUUCUCUGUGUCUGUAACUGGAUUUUUUUUGUCAUAUUUCAAUACAACAAUUUUGCAGGGCUGCUGAGAGGCUUAUCAUCUUUAUUUGUGCAUAAUUUUCCCUAAAACCUCCUCUUAUCUUUGAGCUUUUUGGGGUAAGUUCUGUUGUCAUCUUUUGUUGUCUAGCCUAUCUGGUGAAAGUCUAAUAGGGCUGGGAUGGGAUUCCAUAUGGAUCUCAGUAGAAACAAACCCACUCACUGAUGUUGUCUUCAUUUACUGCUGUCCAUGAGCCAUGUUUAUCUCACAUUUCGAAUGAAUCAUAAUAAUUUCAAUUGUUCUAAAUUCCUAAUGAAAAUACUGGUUUGCUGUUAAGUCUCACAGAAGCUGAAAUAUGUUAUAUUGUACCAAUACUGCUACUUUCAUAAGCCAAAAUUGUAGUCUCAUCAAAACAAUAUACUAGGUUAGUCAGACAAGGUCUGUUUCAUAAACUUGAUUGGAAUUUUUAAUUAUCUUCCCAUUUGUCUUGUUAUUAAUUCAAUCCCAUAUUGGUUUCUCCAUUAUUUUAUCCAGGCUGUCAGGAUUAUAGUUACCUGGCUCAAUUAACGUACCAUUUUCUAGCACAGGCACAGUCUUAAAUUUCUUUCUUUCCAACUUCCCACAUUGUAACAAGGCUUGAAAAUUUGCAUUGUGUUAAUAUUCUGCAAACUCUUAAUCAAAUCCCCUUUAUUCUAUCUCACCACAUAGAAGAGAGAAUUACUUUAUGUUGGAUCAGAGGGCUCUGCUGUUCCCUGAAGAUGAGAGCAUCUCUUAGGGAGGUGAUAAGUCACCUUGAACAAGAGGUCUGCCAGUGUAUGCACCUCCAGAAUCCAUGCUGCUAAAACCACCAGGAAGCAAGUUCAGGAGAUGCCAGACACCAAGAGAGCCCUCAGACCAUGACUGAACAAUAUGUUGUUCAUGGGAAGCAAGGCCAGAUGACAAUAUCAGGCAAAGAACUGGAAAUCCACAGCUGUUAGGACAGCAGUCAAAGUGUUUUUGUUUAAGUGAAAUGUGGCCUGAGCUGAAGAAGUGAAUUUGGAGCCUCAAAAUGAUGACGUUUAUGGCUCAGUCCCAUCAAGCACAACUGAAAACAAAUUAUGAAGUCCUAACCUUGAGCGCAGAAGGUAUUGUUAGCACUGCGUGAAGCUAUCCAUCUGAUGCUAACCAGCUGGGUGGUACAACACCAGAAGUGGCUGGCAUGUGGAACAGAGACCACCUCUUGGUUUUGCUGCUGAGUCACUCUGUCACUUGAGGAUUGCAACAUCCAUGUAUGCUUUACACACUUACCGUGGCUUUGGUUUUGUUUGAUUUUGUUUUCCUGAAAAGUUUAAGUGAUGGAGGUUGGAGCUUUGCUGCACAGAUACCUGAACAAGCUUUAAAGCUCCGGAGAUGGUUUUUUAAAUGUACCCAGUGCACCAUGUUAUCUUGUCUUGAGGUUUGCCUUAGCAGCAAGUACAUUAGUUGUUAUUUUCUAGCAAAUAGCACUGCAAUUGUGGCAAAGAUCAGAAUCUGGCUUUCCAGAAGAAGAAGGUUGCUGUGUUAUAAAACAAGCUGAUUUUAGGUACUCACACUCCCCUUCUCAUAUAUUCACAAACCUUUUGAACUCCUCAGAAGCUUGCAGUGAACAGGAACUUUCCUCCCUCCAUCCUUCUGUAUCUCUGUGAGUCACUAGGGUUUACUCACUGUCUUUUGUCUCAGUCUCUGGAUGUCUCAAAGCUCCAGCCUUGUUCUUCAUCUUCUUCGUCAUCAUCUCUUAGCUGCUGUCCCUUAUUCUAUGCAGUCCUUUGUUUUCCCACUGGGGUCUGCUCAGAAGCUGCAUGUAGAUGUGCUGUGCUAAGGAUGAUUUGCAGAGCUAGGUAUCACCUAAACCUUGUUGUUCCUUCUGAUGCCUUUCUGCCACACUGUUCCCCCUUGUUCUCCACAGGCCAACCAUAACACUUCUAAUACAAUUCUUUAUAUAUCCAUGCCUGUUUUGAGUUUGAUUUUACCUGCUUCAGUUAAAAAAUUUCACAUGAUUUUUUUUUUUUGGUAGUGUGAUACUUUUUAUGAAACAAUGAUGAGUCACUCAACUGUUUCUAGCAUUUUCCUUACACUGCUAAUAACCUGGACUUCCAAACUAACUCUGUCAGAGGAAAGAGUGUCUCAGUGCUGACAAAAACAGUCAAAAGGGUGACCAAUGCCUCACAUUCAGCUAUGUAACAACUUCAUCAUUCUGCAACCACGCAGGAAGGCAUAUGGAUCAAGUCAAAUUUAGAGAUCCAAAUCUGAGGAUCUGUUCACCAAAUACACUUUUGUAACUCAGAAAAAUAAUACUCCCUGGCAUCUUUGAGAGUUGGUCAAUAAGUAAGCAAUAACUGAGGUAGCAAAGCUGAAAAUUCAGAGCCUUAGAAGCACACUUUUUUUUAUCCCCUGGACAUCCUUAGGGCUGACACAAAUGCAGAACUAUAACUCCCUUAAAUAAAGGGGAAGCCUUUGGUUUCUGAAAUAAAUAGCAAGUAACAAAAUGUUCCCUGAGCCGACUCAGCUCAGGUGGCACUGGGUGCCCAUCUGGAAGGAGCUGAGCAGACAAAGGGCCAGCUGCGUCAUCUGCCUAGAGCAGGGUUAAAUGUGGGGCUUUUGGAGUAGGAGGAGGGGAGCUUCAUCCAUUAUUAAAACAUAGAUAAUAGAAACUUUAUGCCCCACUGAUCUUGCAUUAGGCAACAUGAACUGAAAGAUGAGGUCUCUGCUAAUUCAGUGCGUGGUACCCCUGGGACUGGCUCCCAUGUGAGGGGAAAGCAGACAGCGCUUGUCUCACUGUGCCUGGUGUUGAUCCCAGCCACCUAAGAGGUCAACGUUCCUUCCAGGCGAUGGCUGCCCAUAACAGCUUUGCUUCACUGAAGGAAUAAAGCUGUCAGCAAGGAGGAGAAGACAGCUGUCUACAUGAGCUGGACCAUGGCCAUGGGACGCAAAGUCAGGCAAAAUGAAGUGAUCCCUACCCUGGCCAGAACAAGUGCUUAAUGGAAAACACACCUCUGGCUCGCUCCUUCAGCGGUCACCCUAGCAGCAGCACUAUUCUCAAAAAGAAAGCAUCUCACAGGCACGCUUCUUUCUUCCCGAGGGCUGGAAAAUGCCAGAUGUGUUUGCAUUCAUUUCUUGAGGAAAGCACUAGGAUGCUGUAGGUUGCUCUUGGUAGAUAAGAAUAAGUCAGAAAACCCAGAGUUAGCCUCGCUCUUUCAUGCCUUGUAACUUGAUAUAAUAUGAGUCUUUUUCCUAUUAAAGCAUAGGCUUUGAGAAACUCUAUCCUGUGUACAGCUACAAACAAGUAGAGGAAAGAACUCUGAAUGUAAUGGAGCUAAAAACCUACGUCUGAUACAAAUAUUUGAUGUAACACAAUCUGCUAAGACCUGCUCCCUCUGAACAGAGUGUUCAAGCCCCCACCUCAGAGUUUCCCAAAUCAAAUAUAUGACUCCUGGGGACACUUUGUAAUUGGAGGGAGCUUGGGGUUCAGGGGUUUUAAAAAAUUAUUUAUUUACCCUCUCAUGCAAUGAAAGACUGACAUGCUUUCUUGAACGGAACCAUUCUGUUCUGUCCUAUGCAGGGCUAGAUAUGUUUUGGUAAUCUGUGAUUUUGGCUAAGAUCCCAAACCACUGGCAGUGCUAGUCCUUAGCAGCUGACUCUUUGUGGUAGUUUUGGAUACCAAAAACUUAAAUAAUGAAGUCCAUAUUUUUUCUUCAGUAGGAAAAAUAAAACCA